Molecule: long non-coding RNA, 471 nt
Filed under: Equus asinus (donkey)
Lineage: Eukaryota; Metazoa; Chordata; Mammalia; Perissodactyla; Equidae
Description: lncRNA (ENSEASG00005028462.1)
Source: RNAcentral
CGGAACCAGCCGGCGCGGGCCUCCUCGCCCCGCCGCGGGCGGCGCUGCCCGCUCCGGUCGGCCGCGGCCGGGGGCUGGGACUGUGGCUGGCGCUGCUCUCGAGUUGGCGUGCGGGGCCGGGCUCCGUGGGUGCGAGGUUCCGGGGCAGGCCCCGCUGCUCCGGCUGCCGCUUUCUUGGGUCGGGCCAGUUCCGCAGGAGCGUCGGCUCCGGCCCUCUUUCCUGGGCGGUGUGGGGUCAUUGCUGCUCCAGUGUCGCUGAGAUCCGAGUGUGAGGCCCGUCUGUCUUGGCGUGUGCGCCCGUGCCCCAGUGCCCUCGCCGCUUGCUUCGCCCCCUCUGCGUCCCUUCCACUCGUGCUUCCUUCAGAGUGUGCAGCCGGGUGCCGGCGAGCUCCGUACUCUGGGAAAGGGCACGCUGUACUUUGAAUUGGUCCUGGAACACGCCAGCAAAGAGAAGUGGUCACUGGGUUUUAG